CACAUCUUAUUUAGUGUUAGAGACAGGCCCGUGAAGUGGACCAUAUCCUAAUUAGAAGCCCAUGAACUCAAUCACAUCCUAAUUAGAACCCUGUGAACUCAAUCAAAUCCUUAUUAGUGUUGAUUCUGUACCUCCACUUACAAAAAUUUUUUAAUAUGCAUCUCGGGUACGAGUUAAUACUAGGCCUUUAGUAAAAACGAAAGUAAAUUGUAUGACGUAUGCAAUUUGUGUGUGUUUGAGUUCACGGAACUUCCGAUUGUAUCAGUUCACGGGCUUAUAGACCCUGCCCUGGAUUUUUAGGUCCUAUUGCAACUGGUUGUUUUCCGGCAACGUGUGUCGUACAACGUGCGUUGACAAUAACUACUGCUCCAAUUCUUUACAAAUGAACCACUGUGAGUUUGUUACAACUGACUUUGGGCUGCGUUCUCAAACACACACUCUUUAAGACAUAAAGCAGUUGGAUUUGGUACUGGUGGAGGUUGAAAUCAUGGUUCUGAAGAAUGAGUUAUGAUGGAAGUGAUACAAUGAUGGGACACUUAACAUCAUACCAGAAUUAAAGAGUCAAUAUAAAGAUUCUUGAAUGAUCAACUUCCACUGGGGAUGAAGGAUGAAUGAGAAAUCUGUAAAUGAUAUUUUGAUUCAAAUUAAGUUAUAUUUUAUAUAUAAUGAAUCAGAAACAUGCUUGCUAUCCAAUCUCGCCUGUAUUAAAAAUUAUGCAUGUUGCAUAAGCAGUAUCUAUUGCAUUAGAUUAGAAUAAAACUUUAUUAUGAUAUAAAGAAUUUUUUAAAAAAAUAAAAUUAACAUGACAGCUGGUUUGAUUUGUU
Long non-coding RNA from Ostrea edulis (European flat oyster), 824 nucleotides. RefSeq lists it as uncharacterized. The record is from RefSeq and is a predicted model, not a curated record. NCBI's taxonomy places the organism in Eukaryota, Metazoa, Mollusca, Bivalvia, Ostreida, Ostreidae. The transcript is spliced from 3 exons.